This 649-nucleotide ribosomal RNA is filed under the name uncultured bacterium. RNAcentral's name for it is "bacterial SSU rRNA". It matches the Rfam family "Bacterial small subunit ribosomal RNA", at positions 80 to 765 of the family's 1533-position model. The record is from RNAcentral.
GGGGGACUCAGGGUAGUGGCAGACGGGUGAGUACACGUGGGAACCUACCUAGUGGUACGGAAUAACUCAGGGAAACUUGUGUUAAUACCGUAUACGCCCUUUUGGGGAAAGAUUUAUCGCCAUUAGAUGGGCCCGCGUCUGAUUAGCUUGUUGGUGAGGUAACGGCUCACCAAGGCGACGAUCAGUAGCUGGUCUGAGAGGACGAUCAGCCACACUGGGACUGAGACACGGCCCAGACUCCUACGGGAGGCAGCAGUGGGGAAUAUUGGACAAUGGGCGCAAGCCUGAUCCAGCCAUGCCGCGUGAGUGACGAAGGCCCUAGGGUUGUAAAGCUCUUUUGGCAGGGACGAUAAUGACGGUACCUGCAGAAUAAGCCCCGGCUAACUUCGUGCCAGCAGCCGCGGUAAUACGAAGGGGGCUAGCGUUGUUCGGAAUUACUGGGCGUAAAGCGCGCGUAGGCGGACUGGUCAGUUGGGGGUGAAAUCCCGGGGCUCAACCCCGGAACUGCCUCCAAUACUGCCAGUCUCGAGUCCGGAAGAGGUGAGUGGAAUUCCUAGUGUAGAGGUGAAAUUCGUAGAUAUUAGGAAGAACACCAGUGGCGAAGGCGGCUCACUGGUCCGGUACUGACGCUGAGGUGCGAAAGCGUGGG